This is a long non-coding RNA of Zingiber officinale, 326 nucleotides long. RefSeq lists it as uncharacterized. The record is from RefSeq and is a predicted model, not a curated record. The transcript has 3 exons. NCBI's taxonomy places the organism in Eukaryota, Viridiplantae, Streptophyta, Magnoliopsida, Zingiberales, Zingiberaceae.
UGAUUUAACCUCUUCAAAGAACAUGUUGAAAUGACAAAAAAGAUUUGUGGCAAUGCAAAUGUCCGUUACGCAUGGCUUGCUUCCUCCAAGGAUGCGGUGGAUGAGAUGAUGUCUCAUGGGGUUCUGAAGCAACCUGUGCAGAAAUGACUUUAUAGAAAUAGACUUCAUCUUGCCCUUACAAAUUGCUCUGAUAUCUGCAUUGCGUAAGCUUUGUGAAGAUGCUUCGGCAGUUAUGCAGGAUCUAUAAAAUCUUGAAGUUUUGAUCUGGAUAGGCGAGGACUUGGAGAAAUGGAAUCUUUCAUAUGAAGAGAAAGAGGAAAUUGUUA